GGGAAGGAGGAACUGAGUAUGAAAACGAAUGCUUCAUGCUGUCUUCUGAACAUGACAUGGACUCGGUGGACCUGCAUCAGAUCAGUGCAGUCGAAAUUCUGUUGCGGAUGGAGGAGAAAGCCUGAGGCUCCAACCCUAGCUGAGGUCUGGCUUCUGUGUAUGCACAAUGAGUUCAUCCAAGCAAAGCUCUCAUCCGACUAUUUCCAUAACCAAGAAGGUGUCCCAUGACGUAAAAGGCAUCCAUUUUUGAGCGGAGGCACCGGUAAACGCAAACACAGCUCAUGAUCUCACACAUCUUUGGCUCUUCUAAAUUGGAGGCAGUUUCUGCAGAGUAGCUUGGAAUCGUGGCUCCUCUACCAACUAGAGGAAUGGACUUCUCUGAGUUUCUCCGUGUCGGGAGUGUGCUAGGCGUUCGUUCCAUUGCUCUGGAGACUGCUAGAGUCAAGGAAUUCUGCCCGAGGCACAUCAGCAGCUAGUAAAUAGCCGAGGGUUUUUAAAAGCUAAUUUUUAUUGUUAUUAUGACAAAAGAAGUGAAGGAUGAACUGCAAGGAGCCCGAAACUGCAAACUGGAAGCCUGCACGGUGGUUUUUAAAACGUUUCAAAUUGAUUCGAAACAUUGAAAAGUUGUGAAAUUUCAACGCUGUCUGGUGUCUUUUGGGGGAAAAAAACAUUAACAACGGGAGAGGCUGUGUUUUAUAAGCUGUUGGGCUGUCUCUCUCUCUCUCUCUCUCUCUCUCUCAUUGUAAUGUUGUGUGCCUCUUUCAAAGUGGUGUUAAUUGUUGUAGAAUUAAAAAAAAACACUCUUGGGCAAUUUGUCUGUUGCAAGGUUCUGAAAGGCAAGUUUAUUUUGAAACAUGGCUUUUUUUUUUUUUAAUUUAGU
Mus musculus (house mouse) is the source of this 880-nucleotide long non-coding RNA. RefSeq annotates it as predicted gene, 54255. The record is from RefSeq and is a predicted model, not a curated record. Lineage: Eukaryota; Metazoa; Chordata; Mammalia; Rodentia; Muridae. The transcript is spliced from 3 exons.